UGUCAGAAGUGGGAUUCGCACCCUCGCUCAGAAGAGUUUACUGCGAACUGAACGCCGCGCCUAAGACCGCUCGGCCAUCCUCAC
Araneus ventricosus is the source of this 84-nucleotide non-coding RNA. The record is from the annotation of a GenBank genome assembly. Lineage: Eukaryota; Metazoa; Arthropoda; Arachnida; Araneae; Araneidae.